Molecule: long non-coding RNA, 2356 nt
Filed under: Anas platyrhynchos platyrhynchos (common mallard)
Lineage: Eukaryota; Metazoa; Chordata; Aves; Anseriformes; Anatidae
Description: lncRNA (ENSAPLG00000018713.1)
Source: RNAcentral
UUAUUACUAAAACACAAGUCAGUCCUAUGAGAUUGCUAACACCCCUUUCUCUUGCAUCUGAGUUAUUGAGAGGAGUAAUUUGAAGAGAGCAACUAAAUUGACCGGCACUGUAGAGGGUCCUGCUGGAGAACUCCAUUUCUUGUACACCAAAGGUUAGCUGUGCAAUGCUGCCUCUCCCAGAGCUGAAAAGACCAAUUAUAUGCUGCUUGCUGCUGCUUGAAUCUCCAGUCCAUGGCAUAAAGCACAGGCUCAUAUGACAGUCACUGGAGGACACAAUAGUAAAAAUGGAGUGGAGCCAGGAGGGCUAACAAAGCAUUAAAGGAGCCUACAACAUCUCUCCCUGCCCCUCCACCCCUUCCCCACUUGGCUGCUGGAAAAUAUUUCUUCAGAUUUGCUGUGUACCUUUGCUGCAAAACCUGACUGCACGUCUGUGGGUUCGUAGAUUAUCUGCACCGUGACAGCCAGACUGUGAAACCUUUGCUUGUGACUGCAGGUCUGGCAGUCUGCUGGCUUCAGUGGGGCUGCUGCCGCGGGAUGCUGUUUUUCAGCGUGAGUAAUGGUGUCAUGAUCUGGCCCAUAAAUUCUGGGUAAUUUGUAAAGUGCCUGUCACAAAGUUAUCUAAAUAGCAAUGGCACAUUGAAAACUGUUCUGAGCUGUUGCAGAGAGUAGUCUUCUCAGUUUGUCUUUCCAGUACAACUUUGUUCUUACAUAGUUUGGUAUGUUCCUUUCCAACCUCAUUUAAGAGCAUCUGAAUUCUGUUCAUAUUGUGGUAAACCAGAUACCAGCAAAACACAAUUGCUGAAGGCAUUUUGAUCCUUAAUAUAGUCAAUAAACAUACUUGAAUGGGACUUCAGAAUAGGUAUUAGAGAGGGCAACAAUUACCUCCCUUCUUCUUUCGUGGUUUCUGAAUGAAUUAAUUUUGUCUCUGUUUGGGCUUUCCUUUGUAUGUUUUUGUUUUGUUUUGUUUUGUUUGUUUGUUUGUUUUUCCUAGAGUUUCAAGAGACUGAUUCUCACUGGCACAAUUCCAUGGAAGUCAGAUUUCUAAGCUGCAAGUGUCGUUGCUGUUCCUGGUUGUGCCUACGAUGUCUGUGGUUGUACAGACUUAACAGAAAGUGCUUCAUUCCUCACUUCCCAGUAUUCCAUCCACACGAGAGCACUGAUGGCAGAAAUCUUCUUGUGCUCCCCUGGGCUGGAAAAGAAUGUCAAUUGCAAUAGAUCAUGGAGGGACAACUUGCUCUGGAAAAAAAGACAUGUGCUCAAAGGCUGUCCUUAAUUCGAGCCAGGGACUGGUGCUGUCUGCACUUUCAGCAUGAUCGCAUCCAUGAGCCAAGAAGCCAAAGGAGAGGAGAGUGCAGUCAGAGGGACAGGGAUUGUUUUCUGGAGGGCUUACUGCAGUCACCUCCGUGUCAGUUGUGCGUGUUGUUUUUAUCCUUCUAAUCAACAAACACCGGCAGCCAAAGAAGAAAGAAGCCGAGCAGUGAAACACAGUGUGUGGCUCUGGCCCUUCCUGGAGAGGGGAGCAGCAGCCGGCCAGAGCCACGCGAACAAAUGAGCUAUUUGUGGGGCCGUGCGAUCCCAAAUGGGAGACGUGUCACACUGCAGAUCUGUGGGACUUGGCAGGCGCGUGCGAGACAGGAGCUGCGGGGCCUCCUGGGCUUUCCACCACCCUUCAGAUCCCUGGCUGUCACAUUAAUCCUGGUUUAAAUCCAACCUCCCCUUUUCCAGUGAUUGACUCCUACAUCUUUUUUUCAUCUCCCGGAGCAGCCAAGCAGCAUCCUGUGCAGCUGAAAGCUAUUCAGCUCCAGGAUCGGCCUACCAAGCACACACUGCAAGAGAAGCUCAUGGCCUUUGGUGGUGGUGAUGGCCAAAUAUGUGUGUAAUGUGCUUAGUCUUCACUAGCCCACACAGCGAGAGUCCCUGCGCCUCUCCUGAACUUGGGCGUAACGUUUUCCCUCCGCCAUCGGGCAGGCCAGCUCUAGACUAAUAUUUUCUAUAGAGUUAAUUAUGACAGGACAAGUGCUGUACCCCGGUGGAAAUUUGCCAUUUGAAAAAUUGCCUAAAAAUAUAUCCUACAGUAAAUGUUUCUCUGCGUGAUUAAGUGUGCAUGUGGACUGUGCUGCGCAGAGGGUUUCCCAAAAACAAAUGUCUCAACUAAGUCUUUUGGCAAGGCCUCCUUGUUUUUUUAGCAGUUUAUCAGCUUUUGCGUUAUUUACUAAUGGCAGGAAUUACUCUGUAAUUCAUUUUUUUACUGAAAAUCCCUAAAGUCUGCAAAGACGGGAACUGCAAAGGUGAAAAGGGAAGGAUGGGGAGAAGCACAGAGUUUCAUUCUUGGGAAUAAAAAUGCCCUCAGGGUUCA